RNAcentral lists this ribosomal RNA (532 nucleotides) under uncultured bacterium. RNAcentral describes it as "bacterial SSU rRNA". It matches the Rfam family "Bacterial small subunit ribosomal RNA", at positions 539 to 1070 of the family's 1533-position model. The record is from RNAcentral.
CGUUGUCCGGAUUAUUGGGCGUAAAGAGCUUGUAGGCGGUUUGUCGCGUCUGCUGUGAAAGGCCGGGGCUUAACUCCGUGUAUUGCAGUGGGUACGGGCAGACUAGAGUGCAGUAGGGGAGACUGGAAUUCCUGGUGUAGCGGUGGAAUGCGCAGAUAUCAGGAGGAACACCGAUGGCGAAGGCAGGUCUCUGGGCUGUAACUGACGCUGAGAAGCGAAAGCAUGGGGAGCGAACAGGAUUAGAUACCCUGGUAGUCCACGCCGUAAACGAUGUCGACUUGGAGGUUGUGCCCUUGAGGCGUGGCUUCCGGAGCUAACGCGUUAAGUCGACCGCCUGGGGAGUACGGCCGCAAGGUUAAAACUCAAAUGAAUUGACGGGGGCCCGCACAAGCGGUGGAGCAUGUGGUUUAAUUCGAUGCAACGCGAAGAACCUUACCUGGUCUUGACAUCCACAGAACUUGGCAGAGAUGCCUUGGUGCCUUCGGGAACUGUGAGACAGGUGCUGCAUGGCUGUCGUCAGCUCGUGUCGUGA